RNAcentral lists this ribosomal RNA (427 nucleotides) under uncultured bacterium. Its description in RNAcentral is "bacterial SSU rRNA". It matches the Rfam family "Bacterial small subunit ribosomal RNA", at positions 355 to 774 of the family's 1533-position model. The record is from RNAcentral.
UGGGGAAUUUUGGACAAUGGGCGCAAGCCUGAUCCAGCCAUGCCGCGUGCGGGAAGAAGGCCUUCGGGUUGUAAACCGCUUUUGUCAGGGAGGAAAUCCUUUGAGCUAAUACCUCGGGGGGAUGACGGUACCUGAAGAAUAAGCACCGGCUAACUACGUGCCAGCAGCCGCGGUAAUACGUAGGGUGCAAGCGUUAAUCGGAAUUACUGGGCGUAAAGCGUGCUCAGGCGGUUAUGCAAGACAGAUGUGAAAUCCCCGGGCUCAACCUGGGAGCUGCAUUUGGGACGGGAUAGCGAGAGUACGGUAGAGGGGGAUGGAAGUCCGCGUGUAGCAGUGAAAUGCGUAGAUAUGCGGAGGAACACCGAUGGCGAAGGCAAUCCCCUGGACCUGUACUGACGCUCAUGCACGAAAGCGUGGGGAGCGAACA